Molecule: ribosomal RNA, 435 nt
Filed under: uncultured bacterium
Lineage: Bacteria
Description: partial 16S ribosomal RNA
Rfam family: Bacterial small subunit ribosomal RNA
Source: RNAcentral
AGCGAACGCUGGCGGCAGGCUUAACACAUGCAAGUCGAGCGGGCACUUUCGGGUGUCCGCGGCGGACGGGUGAGUAACGCGUGGGAACGUGCCCUCUGGUUCGGAAUAACUCAGGGAAACUUGGGCUAAUACCGGAUACGCCCUUUUGGGGAAAGGCUUGCUGCCGGAGGAUCGGCCCGCGUCUGAUUAGCUAGUUGGUGAGGUAACGGCUCACCAAGGCGACGAUCAGUAGCUGGUCUGAGAGGAUGAUCAGCCACACUGGGACUGAGACACGGCCCAGACUCCUACGGGAGGCAGCAGUGGGGAAUAUUGGACAAUGGGCGCAAGCCUGAUCCAGCCAUGCCGCGUGAGUGAUGAAGGCCUUAGGGUUGUAAAGCUCUUUUAUCCGGGACGAUAAUGACGGUACCGGAGGAAUAAGCCCCGGCUAACUUCGUG